RNAcentral lists this non-coding RNA (73 nucleotides) under Allorhodopirellula solitaria. The record is from RNAcentral. Lineage: Bacteria; Pseudomonadati; Planctomycetota; Planctomycetia; Pirellulales; Pirellulaceae.
AAAGUUUCUUACGAAGAAGGUUUAGCCAAUCACUUCGGCCUCCGGCGGAGGGACGAAUGCGGUAACGCGUGCG